Molecule: ribosomal RNA, 287 nt
Filed under: uncultured bacterium
Lineage: Bacteria
Description: partial 16S ribosomal RNA
Rfam family: Bacterial small subunit ribosomal RNA
Source: RNAcentral
AGGAGAGGAUGAACGUCAAGUCAUCAUGGCCUUUAUGCCUAGGGCCCACACACGUGCAACAAUGGCCGGUACAGACGGAGGCAAUGCCGAGAGGCGGAGCAAACCCGAGAAAAACCGGUCCCAGUUCGGAUUGAGGUCUGCAACUCGACCUCAUGAAGUCGGAAUCGCUAGUAAUCGCAUAUCAGAACGAUGCGGUGAAUACGUUCCCGGGCCUUGGUACACACCGCCCGUNACACCACGAAAGUUUGUGUACCCGAAGUCGGUGCCUUAACCUCGCAAGAGGAGAG